Molecule: long non-coding RNA, 518 nt
Organism: Pseudomyrmex gracilis
Lineage: Eukaryota; Metazoa; Arthropoda; Insecta; Hymenoptera; Formicidae
Exons: 2
Source: RefSeq, a predicted model, not a curated record
AGCACUCAAAAUUAAUUUUUCACUUGAUUGUUUGUUUCUUUUUAUGUAAGGAAAAAAUGCUGCUUAAGCGUGGAGGUAAAGAUCCGGCCGAUUUUAUACGACGAAUGCUUAUGAGUGUUUUUGCACCCGAAUUGGCACUUGGAGUCUCGUGGUUGGGGAGGAAGAAAAACAAUAGACUCGAAGGGACAAUAUUCGCACGUAUAUUAUUUGCUGCUGUGAAACAACGAUAUAGGAAGAUUGACGAUCGGGAAAUCGAAACAACGGUUAUAGACUGGUUCCGGCGGGCAACUGAUCGCCUAAAAAAACAAGCUAAUAUUACUAAUGCGGCUCAAUAGUAUGUAUGUAAAUAAUAAUCCACUAAUAAAAAAAGAAAAUAGAAACCGUUGAUAUUACUUAUGAUUUACACGACACUGGGUUCUAAAAUGUCAAGAAAAGUUUAUUAAGUAACCGAUUAUUAGUUGUAAAUAUAAUGUCAAACGACCAAUAAAAUGAGCAAUAAAAAGUACUGUAAUAUUAUA